CAAUCACUUGUCUUUUAAAUGAAGACCCGUAUGAAUGGCAUAACGAGGGCUUAACUGUCUCCUUUUUCCAGUCAAUGAAAUUGAUCUCCCCGUGCAGAAGCGGGGAUAAAACCAUAAGACGAGAAGACCCUGUGGAGCUUUAGACACAAGGCAGACCAUAAAGAACAGCUCAAAACAAAUGGCUAUACUCAUAAGGACCCCUGCCCAACAUGUCUUUGGUUGGGGCGACCGCGGGGAAAAACAAAACCCCCAUGUGGAACGAGAGCACCCCUCUCACAACCAAGAGCUACCCCUCUAAGAAACAGUAUUACUGACCAAAAAUGAUCCGACACAGUCGAUCAACGGACCGAGUUACCCCAGGGAUAACAGCGCAAUCCCCUCCCAGAGCCCA
Molecule: ribosomal RNA, 391 nt
Filed under: Sargocentron punctatissimum (speckled squirrelfish)
Lineage: Eukaryota; Metazoa; Chordata; Actinopteri; Holocentriformes; Holocentridae
Description: partial 16S ribosomal RNA
Rfam family: Bacterial large subunit ribosomal RNA
Source: RNAcentral